GUAGUCCACGCCCUAAACGAUGGAUACUAGGCGUAAGAGGUAUCGACCCCUCUUGUGCCGCAGCUAACGCAUUAAGUAUCCCGCCUGGGGAGUACGGCCGCAAGGUUGAAACUCAAAUGAAUUGACGGGGACCCGCACAAGCGGUGGAGCAUGUGGAUUAAUUCGAUACUAACCGAAGAACCUUACCCAGACUUGACAUCGAUGGUAAGCCGUAGAAAUAUGGCCCUCCCCCAAAAGGGGACCUGAAGACACUUGUUGCAUGGCUGUCGUCAGCUCGUGCCGUGAGGUGUACGGUUAAGUCCGCCAACGAGCGCAACCCUCGUCCUGUGUUACCAGCAAGUAAAGUUGGGGACUCACAGGAGACCGCCGGUGUAAACCGGA
This 381-nucleotide ribosomal RNA is filed under the name uncultured bacterium. RNAcentral's name for it is "bacterial SSU rRNA". It matches the Rfam family "Bacterial small subunit ribosomal RNA", at positions 790 to 1167 of the family's 1533-position model. The record is from RNAcentral.